GACGAACGCUGGCGGCGUGCUUAACACAUGCAAGUCGAACGGUAAGGCCCUUCGGGGUACACGAGUGGCGAACGGGUGAGUAACACGUGGGUGAUCUGCCCUGCACUUUGGGAUAAGCAUGGGAAACUGGGUCUAAUACCGGAUAGGACCAUGUGCUUCACGGGGUGUGGUGGAAAGCUUUGGCGGUGUGGGAUGGGCCCGCGGCCUAUCAGCUUGUUGGUGGGGUAAUGGCCUACCAAGGCGACGACGGGUAGCCGGCCUGAGAGGGUGACCGGCCACACUGGGACUGAGAUACGGCCCAGACUCCUACGGGAGGCAGCAGUGGGGAAUAUUGCACAAUGGGCGCAAGCCUGAUGCAGCGACGCCGCGUGAGGGAUGACGGCCUUCGGGUUGUAAACCUCUUUCAGUAGGGACGAAGCGCAAGUGACGGUACCUACAGAAGAAGGACCGGCCAACUACGUGCCAGCCGCCGCGGUAA
This 478-nucleotide ribosomal RNA is filed under the name uncultured bacterium. RNAcentral's name for it is "partial 16S ribosomal RNA". It matches the Rfam family "Bacterial small subunit ribosomal RNA", at positions 28 to 523 of the family's 1533-position model. The record is from RNAcentral.